Molecule: ribosomal RNA, 232 nt
Filed under: Tryblionella compressa
Lineage: Eukaryota; Bacillariophyta; Bacillariophyceae; Bacillariales; Bacillariaceae
Description: partial Bacterial large subunit ribosomal RNA
Rfam family: Bacterial large subunit ribosomal RNA
Source: RNAcentral
AGGGGAGCGUCGAGUUGCCGGAGAAGCUGCCGUGUGAACGAGUGGUGGAGGCGAUUCGAGUGAGAAUGCAGGCAUGAGUAGCGAAAGACGGGUGAGAAACCCGUCCACCGGAUGACCAAGGGUUCCAGGGCUAGGCUAAUCCGCCCUGGGUAAGUCGGGACCUAAGGCGAGGCCGACAGGCGUAGUCGAUGGACAUCCGGUUGAUAUUCCGGAACCGGCGAAGAACCGACCC